RNAcentral lists this long non-coding RNA (611 nucleotides) under Rattus norvegicus (Norway rat). Its description in RNAcentral is "long non-coding RNA NONRATT015727". The record is from RNAcentral. Lineage: Eukaryota; Metazoa; Chordata; Mammalia; Rodentia; Muridae.
UUAUUCAAGAUAUAAAUGCAGGAUUAAAGGAUGAAACAGAAAUUCUUGAACAAUUAGUUCCACUUUCUUCUCUAUCUGAGGAGCAGUUGGAAACCUUAAUUAAGAAAUUGAGAAAAGCAAGUGAAGGCUUGAACUCUACACAUGAAGAUCACAUUAUGUCCCAUCCAGCAUUACACGACGCCCUUAAUGACCCGAGAAAUGGUGAUUGUGCAGUCAAGCACCUGAAACAGCAGGUAUGUUUGGACACAAUCACUCAACGUUUCUUCAUAUGUUUAGUGCUAGCAUCCCAAGCUGAGGAGAUGGCUCACCAGAUAAAGGUGCUCGCUGCCAAGCCUAAUGGCCUGAGUUCAGUCAUCUGAAUCUUACAAAGUGUCCUCCGACUGCUACAUGCACACACAAGUGUGUAUGCUCACAAUAAAUAAAAGUAAUUUUUUAAAAGCUAACAUUCUAGUUAGGUAUGGUGGUAUAUACCUCUAAUCCAGAACUCAGUAGAUAGAGACAAGCAGAUCUGAGUUUGAGGCCAUCCUGGUCUACAGAGUGAGUUCUAGGACAGCCUGGGUUACAGAGAGAAACCUUGUCUUGAGAAAACAAUCAAAAAAAAAAAAAAAAAA